CCUACGGGUGGCAGCAGUGAGGAAUAUUGGUCAAUGGACGCAAGCCUGAACCAGCCAAGUCGCGUGCAGGAUGACGGCUCUAUGGGUUGUAAACCGCUUUUGCACGAGGGUAAACCCCUCCACUUGUGGCGGUCUGCAGGUACCGUACGGAUAAGGACCGGCUAAUUCCGUGCCAGCAGCCGCGGUAAUACGGAGGGUCCGAGCGUUAUCCGGAUUUAUUGGGGUUAAAGGGUGCGUAGGCGGGCGUAGAAGUUAGCUGUGAAAUGCCGGGGCUCAACCCCGACACUGCAUUUAAUACUGUAGGACUUGAGUAUAGAUGAGGCAGGCGGAAUGUGUGGUGUAGCGGUGAAAUGCUUAGAGAUCA
This 364-nucleotide ribosomal RNA is filed under the name uncultured bacterium. RNAcentral's name for it is "partial 16S ribosomal RNA". It matches the Rfam family "Bacterial small subunit ribosomal RNA", at positions 338 to 699 of the family's 1533-position model. The record is from RNAcentral.